CUAGUCUUUUCAUUAUUUUUUUACGGUGUAAUUCUUUAUAUAUAAAUGGCUCUUUAUGUUUAUGAAUAAAAUAGAAUCAUACAGAUUCUAUUCUAUAGUUUUACAACACUAAUACAUUUAACCACAUUUUCCUCAGGACCUCACCAGAUUUAAGAUUUAUCCAACAUGAUUCUUCCAAAAUGAAAAUUAACUCUCGCUCCAAAAAUGGGUAAAGCUUCAACAAAUCAUAUAAUGGAGUAAAAUUCCUAGGGGUGCAAUUUCCCAUAUGUUUCAGCAGAAUGCAUGUGAUUCUGACUUUUCUUAUCUCUGGUGUUGUCUUUAUUCAUCUGGGAGUGGGUUAUGCAAAAAAAUGGGGUUUGAUAACAGUAGAGGAUAACUUUUUUUGUCUUUCUGAUAUAGUUGACAUAUCCGUUAGUUUUAGAUAGCGUUUGUAUAUUUAGAAACGCUAUGAUAAAAUAGUAUAAUUGGAAACAUUGUGAUAGCUUAUGUUUAAUAUCAAAAUAAUUAAAACAUUAUGUUUGGUUUUUUAAAUCCCUUAACUCUAAAGAACUUUUUAAACCCUAAACUCUAAGUAUAAACCUUAAAACUCUAAGUUUAUAUUCUCAUACUAUAACUUCAACUCUUGAAUUUGAACUCAAACUUAUUCUUUUUAAUUUUAAUAUAUAACUUCCAAACACACAAACCUUAAUUCCUCAAUCAAACAUAUAAACUAUAAAGCACAAAACUUAUAAUUUGUAUAAUAAUUUCAAAAUAAUAACACAAAGCCCUUAAAUUUGUGCUAAAAAUACUUAAUAUAACUCUAAUUUCAAACCCUAUUAUGAAAAUUUUGAAAAUCAUAAAUCUACAAAAUCCAAAUCAAAUUUAUAUUUCAAAUGUUAAAUUAUAAUAUCUAAUUUUUAAAUUUAGGAAAAUUCUAAAAGAAUUAAAAAGAAAUGUAAAUACAUUAAACUUUAAUUUAAACUCUAAAUCAUUAAUCAAACUCGAACCUUUGAAUAUACAUGAACCUUAAACAAAAAACAAUAAUGUAUACUGAAGAAAAACAAAGAGUUGUCGAAGAAAAGGUAAAAAAUAAAGAAGGCUUUUCUAUUGGCCAAUACAUGAAUCACGAGGAUUGCAAUACAAACCCUUAGAUUAGUUUAAUCUAACGACCACAAUUCAUUUCUCUCUCUCUCUCUCUCUCUCUCUCUCUCUCUCUCUCUCUCUCUCUCUUCCCCUUCGAGUCUUCUCUGUUUAAUCUUCUCUUCUUCUCAACUAUUUUUUUUUUAAGUUUGGAUAUUGAGUUUGAUUUAGCAAUCCCCCUUCGACUUGGACUUUGGUGCCUUCAACUUCGCCUUUGGUGCCUUCAACACCGCCUCGGAUUUAAACAAAGUAACGAGAUUGUUGGGAUAAGUGGGGAGAGCUUUCUCAGAGAUGAAAAUGGCAACGAAGCUCAAGCACCACCGUCUUCAAUGCCAACCUGUUGCGAUGCUCCUCUGCCUGAUGACGAAGCCCAGAUACGAGCCGUUUUUGAUUGGGCCGAGAUGAAGCUCUCCGAAUCCGCCGGUCAAGACUCUAACUCCACCGCGUCUCUGAAGAAGAGGAGAGAGGAUGAAAUAGAAGAGGAGAGAAGAUGAAGAAGACCAACAUUGGAUCUGACGAAGCUUUGGUGUGGAGAUGGCAGAGGAAGCUGGUGGUGGUGGUUGAGGUGGAGCCGAGCAAAAAGAAGAAGAGGAAGAGAGGCGGAGUAGGAGAGAAGUCAAGAGACACAACGGCUUAGUAGGUUUAGGUUUAGUUGUUAUUUUUUCUUUAAAAAAGUUGUUUGGUUUAGUUUGGUUAACUUUGAUGUACCGGUUUUACAUUUGUAACAAUUUCGAUAUAUAAAUUUAUUUUAAUUUUUAA
Molecule: long non-coding RNA, 1878 nt
Organism: Brassica napus (rape)
Lineage: Eukaryota; Viridiplantae; Streptophyta; Magnoliopsida; Brassicales; Brassicaceae
Exons: 2
Source: RefSeq, a predicted model, not a curated record